GAUGAACGCUGGCGGCGUGCCUAAUACAUGCAAGUCGAGCGAACAGACGAGGAGCUUGCUCCUCUGACGUUAGCGGCGGACGGGUGAGUAACACGUGGAUAACCUACCUAUAAGACUGGGAUAACUUCGGGAAACCGGAGCUAAUACCGGAUAAUAUAUUGAACCGCAUGGUUCAAUAGUGAAAGACGGUUUUGCUGUCACUUAUAGAUGGAUCCGCGCCGCAUUAGCUAGUUGGUAAGGUAACGGCUUACCAAGGCAACGAUGGGUAGCCGACCUGAGAGGGUGAUCGGCCACACUGGAACUGAGACACGGUCCAGACUCCUACGGGAGGCAGCAGUAGGGACUCUUCCGCAAUGGGCGAAAGCCUGACGGAGCAACGCCGCGUGAGUGCUGAAGGUCUUCGGAUCGUAAAACUCUGUUAUUAGGGAAGAACAAAUGUGUAAGUAACUAUGCACGUCUUGACGGUACCUAAUCAGAAAGCCACGGCUAACUACGUG
This 497-nucleotide ribosomal RNA is filed under the name uncultured bacterium. Its description in RNAcentral is "partial 16S ribosomal RNA". It matches the Rfam family "Bacterial small subunit ribosomal RNA", at positions 28 to 507 of the family's 1533-position model. The record is from RNAcentral.